Molecule: ribosomal RNA, 372 nt
Filed under: uncultured archaeon
Lineage: Archaea
Description: bacterial SSU rRNA
Rfam family: Archaeal small subunit ribosomal RNA
Source: RNAcentral
GGAGAAGCCCGGAGAUGGGCACUGAGACAAGGGCCCAGGCCCUAUGGGGCGCAGCAGGCGCGAAAACUCUGCAAUGGGCGAAAGCCUGACAGGGUUACUCUGAGUGAUUUCCGCUAAGGAGAUCUUUUGGCAGCUCUAAAAAUGGUGCAGAAUAAGGGGUGGGCAAGUCUGGUGUCAGCCGCCGCGGUAAUACCAGCACCCCGAGUGGUCGGGACGAUUAUUGGGCCUAAAGCAUCCGUAGCCGGUUGUGCAAGUCCUCCGUUAAAUCCAGCCGCUCAACGGAUGGGCUGCGGAGGAUACUACAGAACUAGGAGGCGGGAGAGGCAAGCGGUACUUAGUGGGUAGGGGUAAAAUCCUUUGAUCCAUUGAAGA